RNAcentral lists this ribosomal RNA (323 nucleotides) under uncultured eukaryote. RNAcentral's name for it is "partial 18S ribosomal RNA". It matches the Rfam family "Eukaryotic small subunit ribosomal RNA", at positions 1470 to 1796 of the family's 1831-position model. The record is from RNAcentral.
CCCUUAGAUGUUCUGGGCCGCACGCGCGCUACACUGACGAAUGCAACGAGCUUAUAACCUUGGCCGAAAGGUCUGGGUAAUCUCCAAAUUUCGUCGUGAUGGGGAUAGAUUAUUGCAAUUAUUAAUCUUCAACGAGGAAUGCCUAGUAAGCGCAAGUCAUCAGCUUGCGUUGAUUACGUCCCUGCCCUUUGUACACACCGCCCGUCGCUCCUACCGAUCGAAGAGUUAGGUGAAUUGUUUUGAUCGAUAAGAUUUGACUAUGGUCAACUCUCGUUGUGAAAUUCUGUGAAUCUGACUGUUUAGAGGAAGGAAAAGUCGUAACA